RNAcentral lists this transfer RNA (44 nucleotides) under Lilium lankongense. RNAcentral describes it as "partial tRNA-Cys". The record is from RNAcentral. Lineage: Eukaryota; Viridiplantae; Streptophyta; Magnoliopsida; Liliales; Liliaceae.
UCCUUUAUCCCCAGUUCAAAUCUGGGUGUCGCCUGAUUGACRAA